CACGAUUAUCCUUAUUAACAUUAAUAAUAAAUAUUUUUUAUAAACUUCUAUAUUAUUUUUACAGCAUUAUAAUGGUAAUUGUUAUACUUUUGUCCUAAUUACUUACUGUGUGUUAUUUCACGCUUUAUAUUUUCUUCGCGGAAAGUCAUUUAUUUUCAUUUGUCACUCUUACAGACCAAUAAAGAUGCAGCAAAUGCAUCUGACAACACUUCCAAUGUUUACAUCAGCUUUCUUCUUAACGUAAAUGGACUAUAGAACUGUAGGGAAUAAAUAUGAGGCUGUAGUUACUCCAUCUAGUGGAGGAGCUGAAAAUAAAUUGAAGUAUUUUAUUCAGGCAUAUAUGCAACUGUUCCACUCCUCCCACUCUCCCCUAUAUAUAGAAAAAAUUUAUUUUGUCUUUUUUAAAAUAAAAUACUUUAAAAUAAGCAUACAGACCACUAGUAUUAAUUUUUAAAUCAUCGUAAAAUUUGAAAUUCGUCCAUUGGAAUGGACCUGGGAAUUCAAUAGUUGUAAGACUUAAAAUAUAAUGACGAAGAGAUGCAUAUGUAUUUACAAUGUAAAAAUCAAAAAUACGUUAAAAAUAAACA
Molecule: long non-coding RNA, 587 nt
Filed under: Androctonus crassicauda
Lineage: Eukaryota; Metazoa; Arthropoda; Arachnida; Scorpiones; Buthidae
Source: RNAcentral